This 73-nucleotide transfer RNA is filed under the name Tursiops truncatus (common bottlenose dolphin). RNAcentral describes it as "tRNA-Lys (TTT) (tRNA-Lys-TTT-12-1)". It matches the Rfam family "tRNA". Rfam says of the family: Transfer RNA (tRNA) molecules are approximately 80 nucleotides in length. RNAcentral also lists the same sequence under 1 other name. The record is from Rfam by way of RNAcentral. Lineage: Eukaryota; Metazoa; Chordata; Mammalia; Artiodactyla; Delphinidae.
AUCUGGAUGGCUCAGUCAGUAGAGCAUCAGACUUUUAAUCUGAGGGUCCAGGGUUCAGGCCACUGUCUGGGCA